RNAcentral lists this ribosomal RNA (1256 nucleotides) under metagenome. RNAcentral describes it as "SSU rRNA". It matches the Rfam family "Eukaryotic small subunit ribosomal RNA", at positions 536 to 1790 of the family's 1831-position model. The record is from RNAcentral.
AAUGAGGAACCAUUGGAGGGCAAGUCUAGGUGCCAGCAGCCGCGGUAAUUCCAGCUCCAAUAGUGUAUACUAAAGUUGUUGCAGUUAAAAAGCUCGUAGUUUGAUUUCGGAUGGUCAGAUGAUUGAGUCUAUACAAUAUAGUAUACGUACUCGGAUGUGAUUUCCUUUAUUUAGGGAUGUAGAAUUUAUUUUUGCUCCCUAUAUUUUACUUUGAGAAAAUUAGAGUGUUCAAAGCAGGCGUAACCAAGCCUUUGAAUAUAUUAGCAUGGGAUAAUAGAAUAAGACUUUGUGGAGUGUUCUCGUUUAGUUUUAUAACUUCGCAAGUAAUGAUAAAUAGGGACGGUUGGGGUAAUUGGUAUUUGAUCGCAAGAGGUGAAAUUCUAAGAUUGAUCAAAGACUAACAGCUGCGAAAGCGUUUUACAAGGACGUUUUCAUUAAUCAAGAACGAAAGUUGAGGGAUCGAGGAUGAUCAGAUACCGUCGUAGUCUCAACCAUAAACUAUGCCGACCAAGGAUUCGGGGGUGUUUAAAAUGAAUGACCCUCUGGGCACUUAUAGAGAAAUUACAAGUAUUUGGGUUCCGGGGGUAGUAUGGUCGCAAGGCUGAAACUUAAAGGAAUUGACGGAAGGGCACCACAAGGAGUGGAGCUUGCGGUUUAAUUUGACCCAACACGGGAAAACUUACCAGGUCCAGAUGCAGUGAGGAUUGACAGAUUGAGAGCUCUUUCUUGAUUUUGCAGGUGGUGGUGCAUGGCCGUUUCUAGUUGGUGGAGUGAUUUGUCUGGUUAAUUCCGUUAACGAACGAGACCUUAACCUAUUAAAUAGUUAUAUUGAUCUGGAUUUAUUUCCAUUAAUCAAUAGUAAUACUUCUUAGAGGUACAAUUCAUGUAAAGAGUGAAUGGAAGUUUGAGGCAAAAACAGGUCCGUGAUGCCCUUAGAUGUUCUGGGCUACACGCGUGUUACACUGAUACAUUCAACGAGCUUAUUAUUUUUCCUUAUCUGAUGAGAUUGGGUAAUCUUUUAAAUGUGUAUCGUGAUGGGGAUAGAGUAUUGUAAUUUUUACUCUUGAACGAGGAAUUCCUAGUAAGUGCAAGUCAUUAACUUGCGCUGAUUACGUCCCUGCCCUUUGUACACACCGCCCGUCGCUCCUACCGAUGAAUGGUCCGAUGAGGAUUCUGGAUGGAAGCUGAUUUCGACAUUGUUCGUGCAGUAUUUCCAGAAAUUAUUCAAAUCUUAUCAUUUAAAGGAAGGAGAAGUC